Molecule: ribosomal RNA, 457 nt
Filed under: uncultured Rhodoferax sp.
Lineage: Bacteria; Pseudomonadati; Pseudomonadota; Betaproteobacteria; Burkholderiales; Comamonadaceae
Description: bacterial SSU rRNA
Rfam family: Bacterial small subunit ribosomal RNA
Source: RNAcentral
GCACAAGCGGUGGAUGAUGUGGUUUAAUUCGAUGCAACGACGAAAACCUUACCCACCUUUGACAUGUACGGAACCUUUAGAGAUAGAGGGUGCUCGAAAGAGAGCCGUAACACAGGUGCUGCAUGGCUGUCGUCAGCUCGUGUCGUGAGAUGUUGGGUUAAGUCCCGCAACGAGCGCAACCCUUGUCAUUAGUUGCUACAUUCAGUUGGGCACUCUAAUGAGACUGCCGGUGACAAGCCGGAGGAAGGUGGGGAUGACGUCAAGUCCUCAUGGCCCUUAUAGGUGGGGCUACACACGUCAUACAAUGGCUGGUACAAAGGGUUGCCAACCCGCGAGGUGGAGCUAAUCCCGAAAAGCUGGUCUCAGUCCGGAUCGGAGUCUGCAACUCGACUCCGUGAAGUCGGAAUCGCUAGUAAUCGUGAAUCAGAAUGUCACGGUGAAUACGUUCCCGGGCCUU